RNAcentral lists this long non-coding RNA (440 nucleotides) under Lathyrus oleraceus (garden pea). RNAcentral's name for it is "Pisum sativum (pea) long non-coding RNA (PSAT_LNC001958)". Lineage: Eukaryota; Viridiplantae; Streptophyta; Magnoliopsida; Fabales; Fabaceae. The record is from RNAcentral.
AAGGAUCAAAAGAAAAUCGAAAGAGCCGCGGAAGUUGAACUAAAAGUAUUUCGUUAAUUUUCAAACAACAAAUUCUCAGUAAUUUUUAUUUUUAUUUUAUAUUUUUAUUCUUUUUUUUCUUUUUCAGAUCAAAAUGAAUAUGUAAUGACAUCCUACUUUUCUUUUUCUAUUUUUUUCUUUCUAUUUUUUUCUUUUUCAACUUUUUUUCUUUUGUUCUGCCAACUUUUUUUUAAAAUCAAAUAUCACAAGUAUAAUGAUUAAACCCCAUACAACUCCAACAAGACUCUUUCAACCCUAUGAAUGAGUGAUAACAUUGUUUUUCACUUUCAGGUUUGUAAUGAGUUUAAACAAAUAAUGAGAUGAUAGAAGGGAGUUUUCAAACAAUGGAUGAUAUUAUUCAGGGUUGGAUUUUCGGCUACUGACUACAAAAUAAAUAAAAC